RNAcentral lists this ribosomal RNA (484 nucleotides) under uncultured bacterium. Its description in RNAcentral is "partial 16S ribosomal RNA". It matches the Rfam family "Bacterial small subunit ribosomal RNA", at positions 28 to 507 of the family's 1533-position model. The record is from RNAcentral.
AUUGAACGCUGGCGGCAUGCUUUACACAUGCAAGUCGAACGGCAGCGCGGGCUUCGGCCUGGCGGCGAGUGGCGAACGGGUGAGUAAUGCAUCGGAACGUGCCCAGUAGUGGGGGAUAGCCCGGCGAAAGCCGGAUUAAUACCGCAUACGACCUGCGGGUGAAAGCGGGGGACCGAAAGGCCUCGCGCUAUUGGAGCGGCCGAUGUCGGAUUAGCUAGUUGGUGGGGUAAAGGCUUACCAAGGCGACGAUCCGUAGCUGGUCUGAGAGGACGACCAGCCACACUGGGACUGAGACACGGCCCAGACUCCUACGGGAGGCAGCAGUGGGGAAUUUUGGACAAUGGGGGCAACACUGAUCCAGCCAUGCUGCGUGCGGGAAGAAGGCCUUCGGGUUGUAAACCGCUUUUGUUCGGGAAGAAAUCCUCUGGGCUAAUACCCCGGGGGGAUGACGGUACCGGAAGAAUAAGCACCGGCUAACUACGUG